ACACCAAGUCAGAUCAUUAAAGUUCAUACAGAAAGACCUGAUUGAUUAUAGAAAUUGCCCUCUUUGCCCACAAACUGGUGAGUUAGGUGUGGCCAUUCAUUCCAUGGAUGCUUGCUUUGGUCUAACUCGCAAAAAGUUGGCAGGGAAUAGUUUUGCUGUCCCAAACCGUGGCUGCCUUAAGUUUGCUGAUCAGGAUGAAGUAGAUGAUUUUGUUGAUGAUUAUAGCAAGUCUAAUAACAAAGUAGGAGAGAAUUUCGUAUUCGCUGUUCCUAAUCCAAAGCAUUUUAAAAGAUGCUGACCAAAGUCCUGGUGUUGAUUUAAAAGUAAUGUAUGAUAUUGGAUGUGUAUUAUCAUCACAUUUAAAGGCAAACAAGAGGCAUGACAUUUUGUCAAAAGUGUCAAUUUCGGUGCCGAUAUUUCAUUGUUAUGGACACAAGGCUUCAUGCCAGGUCAAGCUCAGUCCUAGAAGGCUCGAUGGUUUUGGUCUUACAGAUGGUGAGGCUAUUGAAAGGCUCUGGGCUUACCUUCGUGGGUUCUCAGCAAUUACUAAGGAGAUGUCUGCCAGUAGAAGAGUAGAUCUUUUGACAGACGCGCUUCUUCACUUAUCUCGAAGAAAUUUUAGCAAUGCAGGAAAAUCGUUAACGUCGAAGCAAAA
This is a long non-coding RNA of Xenia sp. Carnegie-2017, 655 nucleotides long. RefSeq lists it as uncharacterized. NCBI's taxonomy places the organism in Eukaryota, Metazoa, Cnidaria, Anthozoa, Malacalcyonacea, Xeniidae. The transcript is spliced from 6 exons. The record is from RefSeq and is a predicted model, not a curated record.